RNAcentral lists this ribosomal RNA (2773 nucleotides) under Escherichia coli. RNAcentral describes it as "bacterial LSU rRNA". Lineage: Bacteria; Pseudomonadati; Pseudomonadota; Gammaproteobacteria; Enterobacterales; Enterobacteriaceae. The record is from RNAcentral.
AGCGUACACGGUGGAUGCCCUGGCAGUCAGAGGCGAUGAAGGACGUGCUAAUCUGCGAUAAGCGUCGGUAAGGUGAUAUGAACCGUUAUAACCGGCGAUUUCCGAAUGGGGAAACCCAGUGUGAUUCGUCACACUAUCAUUAACUGAAUCCAUAGGUUAAUGAGGCGAACCGGGGGAACUGAAACAUCUAAGUACCCCGAGGAAAAGAAAUCAACCGAGAUUCCCCCAGUAGCGGCGAGCGAACGGGGAGCAGCCCAGAGCCUGAAUCAGUGUGUGUGUUAGUGGAAGCGUCUGGAAAGGCGCGCGAUACAGGGUGACAGCCCCGUACACAAAAAUGCACAUGCUGUGAGCUCGAUGAGUAGGGCGGGACACGUGGUAUCCUGUCUGAAUAUGGGGGGACCAUCCUCCAAGGCUAAAUACUCCUGACUGACCGAUAGUGAACCAGUACCGUGAGGGAAAGGCGAAAAGAACCCCGGCGAGGGGAGUGAAAAAGAACCUGAAACCGUGUACGUACAAGCAGUGGGAGCACGCUUAGGCGUGUGACUGCGUACCUUUUGUAUAAUGGGUCAGCGACUUAUAUUCUGUAGCAAGGUUAACCGAAUAGGGGAGCCGAAGGGAAACCGAGUCUUAACUGGGCGUUAAGUUGCAGGGUAUAGACCCGAAACCCGGUGAUCUAGCCAUGGGCAGGUUGAAGGUUGGGUAACACUAACUGGAGGACCGAACCGACUAAUGUUGAAAAAUUAGCGGAUGACUUGUGGCUGGGGGUGAAAGGCCAAUCAAACCGGGAGAUAGCUGGUUCUCCCCGAAAGCUAUUUAGGUAGCGCCUCGUGAAUUCAUCUCCGGGGGUAGAGCACUGUUUCGGCAAGGGGGUCAUCCCGACUUACCAACCCGAUGCAAACURCGAAUACCGGAGAAUGUUAUCACGGGAGACACACGGCGGGUGCUAACGUCCGUCGUGAAGAGGGAAACAACCCAGACCGCCAGCUAAGGUCCCAAAGUCAUGGUUAAGUGGGAAACGAUGUGGGAAGGCCCAGACAGCCAGGAUGUUGGCUUAGAAGCAGCCAUCAUUUAAAGAAAGCGUAAUAGCUCACUGGUCGAGUCGGCCUGCGCGGAAGAUGUAACGGGGCUAAACCAUGCACCGAAGCUGCGGCAGCGACGCUUAUGCGUUGUUGGGUAGGGGAGCGUUCUGUAAGCCUGYGAAGGUGUGCUGUGAGGCAUGCUGGAGGUAUCAGAAGUGCGAAUGCUGACAUAAGUAACGAUAAAGCGGGUGAAAAGCCCGCUCGCCGGAAGACCAAGGGUUCCUGUCCAACGUUAAUCGGGGCAGGGUGAGUCGACCCCUAAGGCGAGGCCGAAAGGCGUAGUCGAUGGGAAACAGGUUAAUAUUCCUGUACUUGGUGUUACUGCGAAGGGGGGACGGAGAAGGCUAUGUUGGCCGGGCGACGGUUGUCCCGGUUUAAGCGUGUAGGCUGGUUUUCCAGGCAAAUCCGGAAAAUCAAGGCUGAGGCGUGAUGACGAGGCACUACGGUGCUGAAGCAACAAAUGCCCUGCUUCCAGGAAAAGCCUCUAAGCAUCAGGUAACAUCAAAUCGUACCCCAAACCGACACAGGUGGUCAGGUAGAGAAUACCAAGGCGCUUGAGAGAACUCGGGUGAAGGAACUAGGCAAAAUGGUGCCGUAACUUCGGGAGAAGGCACGCUGAUAUGUAGGUGAAGUCCCUCGCGGAUGGAGCUGAAAUCAGUCGAAGAUACCAGCUGGCUGCAACUGUUUAUUAAAAACACAGCACUGUGCAAACACGAAAGUGGACGUAUACGGUGUGACGCCUGCCCGGUGCCGGAAGGUUAAUUGAUGGGGUUAGCGCAAGCGAAGCUCUUGAUCGAAGCCCCGGUAAACGGCGGCCGUAACUAUAACGGUCCUAAGGUAGCGAAAUUCCUUGUCGGGUAAGUUCCGACCUGCACGAAUGGCGUAAUGAUGGCCAGGCUGUCUCCACCCGAGACUCAGUGAAAUUGAACUCGCUGUGAAGAUGCAGUGUACCCGCGGCAAGACGGAAAGACCCCGUGAACCUUUACUAUAGCUUGACACUGAACAUUGAGCCUUGAUGUGUAGGAUAGGUGGGAGGCUUWGAAGUGUGGACGCCAGUCUGCAUGGAGCCGACCUUGAAAUACCACCCUUUAAUGUUUGAUGUUCUAACGUKGACCCGURAUCCGGGUUGCGGACAGUGUCUGGUGGGUAGUUUGACUGGGGCGGUCUCCUCCUAAAGAGUAACGGAGGAGCACGAAGGUUGGCUAAUCCUGGUCGGACAUCAGGAGGUUAGUGCAAUGGCAUAAGCCAGCUUGACUGCGAGCGUGACGGCGCGAGCAGGUGCGAAAGCAGGUCAUAGUGAUCCGGUGGUUCUGAAUGGAAGGGCCAUCGCUCAACGGAUAAAAGGUACUCCGGGGAUAACAGGCUGAUACCGCCCAAGAGUUCAUAUCGACGGCGGUGUUUGGCACCUCGAUGUCGGCUCAUCACAUCCUGGGGCUGAAGUAGGUCCCAAGGGUAUGGCUGUUCGCCAUUUAAAGUGGUACGCGAGCUGGGUUUAGAACGUCGUGAGACAGUUCGGUCCCUAUCUGCCGUGGGCGCUGGAGAAYUGAGGGGGGCUGCUCCUAGUACGAGAGGACCGGAGUGGACGCAUCACUGGUGUUCGGGUUGUCAUGCCAAUGGCACUGCCCGGUAGCUAAAUGCGGAAGAGAUAAGUGCUGAAAGCAUCUAAGCACGAAACUUGCCCCGAGAUGAGUUCU